CUUUCGGUAAAGAGCGGCGGACGGGUGAGUAACGCGUGGGUAACCUGCCCUGUACACACGGAUAACAUACCGAAAGGUAUGCUAAUACGAGAUAAAAUACUUUUAUCGCAUGGUAGAAGUAUCAAAGCUUUUGCGGUACAGGAUGGACCCGCGUCUGAUUAGCUAGUUGGUAAGGUAACGGCUUACCAAGGCGACGAUCAGUAGCCGACCUGAGAGGGUGAUCGGCCACAUUGGAACUGAGACACGGUCCAAACUCCUACGGGAGGCAGCAG
Molecule: ribosomal RNA, 272 nt
Filed under: uncultured bacterium
Lineage: Bacteria
Description: partial 16S ribosomal RNA
Rfam family: Bacterial small subunit ribosomal RNA
Source: RNAcentral